RNAcentral lists this ribosomal RNA (465 nucleotides) under uncultured bacterium. RNAcentral's name for it is "partial 16S ribosomal RNA". It matches the Rfam family "Bacterial small subunit ribosomal RNA", at positions 28 to 507 of the family's 1533-position model. The record is from RNAcentral.
GACGAACGCUGGCGGCGUGCUUAACACAUGCAAGUCGUACGGUAAGGCCCUUUCGGGGGUUCACGAGUGGCGAACGGGUGAGUAACACGUGAGUAACCUGCCCACAACUUGGGGAUAACGCUAGGAAACUGGUGCUAAUACUGGAUAUGUGCUACUGCUGCAUGGUGGGGGUUGGAAAGCUCCGGCGGUUGUGGAUGGACUCGCGGCCUAUCAGCUUGUUGGUGGGGUAGUGGCCUACCAAGGCGGCGACGGGUAGCCGGACUGAGAGGGUGACCGGCCACAUUGGGACUGAGAUACGGCCCAGACUCCUACGGGAGGCAGCAGUGGGGAAUAUUGCACAAUGGGCGCAAGCCUGAUGCAGCAACGCCGCGUGCGGGAUGACGGCCUUCGGGUUGUAAACCGCUUUCAGCAGGGACGAAGCUUUUUGUGACGGUACCUGCAGAAGAAGCACCGGCUAACUACGUG